Numida meleagris (helmeted guineafowl) is the source of this 637-nucleotide long non-coding RNA. RefSeq lists it as uncharacterized. The transcript is spliced from 3 exons. The record is from RefSeq and is a predicted model, not a curated record. NCBI's taxonomy places the organism in Eukaryota, Metazoa, Chordata, Aves, Galliformes, Numididae.
GCUCCAGGCAUUUAACCCUGGCUGUGCACUUGCAGCGCACCAAGGGGGUAUCUGCCAACUGGAAGCCACCGACAGCGCUGAAGACGACACGUGACAGCACGCUACAACACGGCAAACCCAAGACUAACAAGAGUAUCCCAGAGAACCCUAAUCAUUUUGAACAAAUACAGAGAAAUAAGUUACUGUCCGAGGAUCUAAGGAAAUUUUGGAGGCCAGCUUCGGAAGGAGGAGUGGGACCAAGAAGAAGAAUGACAAAGUCAUGAACAAAGAUCAACUGACUUCUUCCUGAGGCUUUGCUACAGCAGGAUUCCCAGAAACCAAGUCAGGCCACAGAGGUCCUGCCUGAUGCCAUCAGAGCUGGCCAAUGUGGGAGCCACAACUCCCAGCAUUUGGGAAAGGAUCAUCUUUCAAAUCUCCCAAGGAUUUGGAAUAAUGCUCCAUCAGCUCAUGCACGCAGCUUCACCACUACUGCCAUGAACAUGAACUAUCACAGCCUGCAGGCAAAAUCAGUGCAAAGAAGGAAGAACAGCAUGGAUCUGCUGCAGUAAGUUUUGAAAGACGCUCGGAAGAUGGUACAGAACCCUCAAAUAAUGGAAGAACAUGCAAUCCUCUGCGGAAGGCAACUGACUACAACAGA